AUGGAAUUAAAGAAACAUCACUCCAUGCAAUUCUAGUAAUCGAAAACCAUAAAAGAUGAAAAUGCAUAUAGCUGCCAGCCAAAAUCAAAGGAUUUUAAGAACUGUGAAGCAGAAAUAAAAUUAUGCUCAAGUUCCAAAUUGAUCUCAUGGAAUAGAAAAUGGCCAUCAUUGCCGGUGACUGAAGGUUUCCUCUGAUUAUGUGAACUAGAUUUCCUUUCUAAUCCCCUUGGCCAGAAGCUAUGAAAUCCAGCCGAAUUACAGCUUACCAACCGUACUUUAACCUGGAAACUAGAGGUGAAAGUCAAGUGCUUUAUCUGCUCAGACAAGCAGCUUCUCUCCAGAUCAGGAGUAUUUUAAUGAAAUGAGACUUAAGUGAAUU
Canis lupus familiaris (dog) is the source of this 379-nucleotide long non-coding RNA. RefSeq lists it as uncharacterized. Lineage: Eukaryota; Metazoa; Chordata; Mammalia; Carnivora; Canidae. The transcript is spliced from 3 exons. The record is from RefSeq and is a predicted model, not a curated record.